This is a long non-coding RNA of Solanum pennellii, 441 nucleotides long. RefSeq lists it as uncharacterized. The record is from RefSeq and is a predicted model, not a curated record. NCBI's taxonomy places the organism in Eukaryota, Viridiplantae, Streptophyta, Magnoliopsida, Solanales, Solanaceae. The transcript is spliced from 3 exons.
UAUCUGUGUGGUUGUAUAUAAAUAUUCUUGUCAUAGUAUUUCUUUACAACUAACAUAUAUUUUUUCUUAGUGAUAAUUUGAAAGAGUUUAGAAUCAAGGAUGAGUGAUCCACCAAAGUAUGCACAUCCCUACCCUGCUCAAGGUUAUUAUCAAGGUCCUCCAGUGAUGCCUCCACCACCUCAAUAUUAUUAUGCAGCUCCUCCUCCAAGAAGGGAACCUGGCUUUCUUGAGGGAUGUCUGGCAGCUUUGUGUUGCUGUCUCCUGAUUGAUGAGUGUUGCUGUGACCCUUCUAUCCUCUUCAUCUGUUGAUAAAAUAUUUUAUUUCUCUCGGAUAUAUAACACUAGUAGUAUUGUAUUUGUAUUAUUAGAUAGAUCUCUCAGAAUGUUACUCUUUGUUCGUUGCUUCAAAAUUGAUUUUCUCGGACUUUUAUUAUAUUUGAA